This 890-nucleotide ribosomal RNA is filed under the name Monothalamids sp. RNAcentral describes it as "SSU rRNA". It matches the Rfam family "Eukaryotic small subunit ribosomal RNA", at positions 1160 to 1801 of the family's 1831-position model. The record is from RNAcentral. Lineage: Eukaryota; Foraminifera.
AAGGGCACCACAAGAACGCGUGGAGCAUGUGGCUUAAUUUGACUCAACGCGGGGAACCUUACCGGGUCCGGACACACUGAGGAUUGACAGGCGACCAAAUUAUGCUAGUCCUUUCAUGAUUGUGUGAUAGGUGGUGCAUGGCCGUUCUUAGUUCGUGGAGUGAUCUGUCUGCUUAAUUGCGCUUCAGAUUAUAUGGAUAUCUGAUUGUAUAUGAUAUCUUAUUCUUUGAAUAUUUUAUUUUUAUACAGGAUAAUCCUAUGAAAGCAACGAACGUGACCGAGUCUCCUUGUUACCUUUAUUAUUACUUUUGUAAUAUAAAAGGCAAACUAGGGGGACUGCACGGGUUUUUACCCUGAGGAAGGACUCGGCAAUAACAGGUCUGUGAUGCCCUUAGAUGUUCCGGGCUGCACACGUGCUACAAUGAUUACCGCACCGUGCAUCUCUUGGUUUUUUUGAACUGAUAAUACUUUGUAUUUGAAGUUCCACAAUGGAAAAUAUAUAAUUUAUUAUAUAUUGGAUAUUGUGUGCCCUAUCUCGUCAGUGCGAUAGGCAAUCAAUUCCAAAUGGUAACAUCCCUCGCGCAUAAAUCAAGUUGAGUGUUAUAUUAUUAUCUUCGGAUAAUUUUAUUCAUUCACUAUGCUCCAAGUAAACUCGUGGUCGGGACUGAGGGUUGCUAAUUAUCCCUCACGGUUCCAACUAGGAAUGCCUUGUACGGGCCUCUGGUUCAACAGACCGCCCGGAAUACGUCCCUGCCCUUUGUACACACCGCCCGUCGCUCUUACCGAUGGACUCUGCUGUGAGUCUAUGGGACUCUUAAUGGAUUCGAAGCCAUUAUACGGAAACAUAGACGAACAGUGAGGUCUAAAGGAAAGAGAAGUCGUAACAAGGCA